Molecule: long non-coding RNA, 465 nt
Organism: Pectinophora gossypiella (pink bollworm)
Lineage: Eukaryota; Metazoa; Arthropoda; Insecta; Lepidoptera; Gelechiidae
Exons: 3
Source: RefSeq, a predicted model, not a curated record
UCUCACGUUUACAACUUUUCAGACAUACACAUCAUUAUCACACUUUUCGUUCUGUACAUUUUUGUUAUCGUGUUUCUAGCAUAAACGUGUUUCACAGUAUAUAAUUAAGUAGUCAUGAAAGUAAUAACGAGGGAAGAUCAGGGGCAAACUGGUUGUAAAGGGCAAGAAGCAAAUGUCACUGAACAGGAUGCAUCUUCUAUGGCUGUUAGCAACUAGUAGUUAGUGAUCAUAAACAUAUUCCUGAGGUCACACCUUGGGGAGGUGCGACUGGUAUUCAGAGAACCCGCUACUGAACAGGUUAUAGAAGUGACUGCCUAUCUGAUCGCCCCGAGGGACCAACCAAGAACCCAUGGCGUUAAUGUGAUGAUUAAGCUGUCUAGCCACAGAGGUUGUUUUUUCGAACGACGUAGAAGAUUUCCCGCAAAUGGCAUUAAGUACUUGUUCGGACUAAUGAGAAGCGCUGAG